AUGGGCGCAGCCUGAUGCAGCCAUGCCGCGUGUGUGAAGAAGGCCUUCGGGUUGUAAAGCACUUUCAGCGAGGAGGAAAGGUCAGUAGCUAAUAUCUGCUGGCUGUGACGUUACUCGCAGAAGAAGCACCGGCUAACUCCGUGCCAGCAGCCGCGGUAAUACGGAGGGUGCAAGCGUUAAUCGGAAUUACUGGGCGUAAAGCGCACGCAGGCGGUUGGAUAAGUUAGAUGUGAAAUCCCCGGGCUCAGCCUGGCAAUUGCAUUUAAAACUGUCAAGCUUGAGGCUUGUCG
Molecule: ribosomal RNA, 290 nt
Filed under: Aeromonas sp.
Lineage: Bacteria; Pseudomonadati; Pseudomonadota; Gammaproteobacteria; Aeromonadales; Aeromonadaceae
Description: partial 16S ribosomal RNA
Rfam family: Bacterial small subunit ribosomal RNA
Source: RNAcentral